CGUAGGGUGCAAGCGUUGUCCGGAAUUAUUGGGCGUAAAGAGCGCGUAGGCGGUCUGUCGCGUCGGACGUGAAAAUCCAGGGCUCAACCCUGGACCUGCGUUCGAUACGGGCAGACUAGAGUUCGGUAGGGGAGACUGGAAUUCCUGGUGUAGCGGUGAAAUGCGCAGAUAUCAGGAGGAACACCGGUGGCGAAGGCGGGUCUCUGGGCCGAAACUGACGCUGAGGAGCGAAAGCGUGGGGAGCGAACAGGAUUAGAUACCCUGGUAGUCCACGCCGUAAACGUUGGGCGCUAGGUGUGGGGAACCUUCCACGUUCUCCGUGCCGCAGCUAACGCAUUAAGCGCCCCGCCUGGGGAGUACGGCCGCAAGGCUA
RNAcentral lists this ribosomal RNA (373 nucleotides) under uncultured organism. RNAcentral describes it as "bacterial SSU rRNA". It matches the Rfam family "Bacterial small subunit ribosomal RNA", at positions 526 to 896 of the family's 1533-position model. The record is from RNAcentral.